This is a long non-coding RNA of Cyprinus carpio carpio, 339 nucleotides long. Lineage: Eukaryota; Metazoa; Chordata; Actinopteri; Cypriniformes; Cyprinidae. The record is from Ensembl.
CAUCAGACUUGUUGAAAAAAAAAAAAAAGAUGGAAAAGGAAAAAAACUGUAUUUUUUUCUUCACAAGUGCUUCAGACAAUAGAGACUGAAGCUGAAAUCAGAAUUGCUCAACUUUGCGGCCACAAUUAUAAUUUUUUUAUUAAUAAGCACCAGCUGUGCUUUAAAGACUCGUCUCAUCGGCUUCUUCAAGGUAUUCACAGUGCAAUUACAUCGUCCUGCGUUCGUGAAGCCAUCUGUUUGAGCCUUUGUGCCUCUGUGCAGAUGUUGGAGAGAGAUUUCAGGACUCGUUUCUAAAGACUCGGGGGAGAGAAGUGUUUAGAUAAGCAUGUUAAAUUGAAG